GAGUUUGAUCGUGGCUCAGGAUGAACGCUGGCGGCGUGCCUAACACAUGCAAGUCGAGCGAAGCACUUGCGAAUGAUCCUUCGGGUGAUUUUGCUGGUGACUGAGCGGCGGACGGGUGAGUAACGCGUGGGUAACCUGCCUCAUACAGGGGGAUAACAGUUAGAAAUGACUGCUAAUACCGCAUAAGCGCACAGUACCACAUGGUACAGUGUGAAAAACUCCGGUGGUAUGAGAUGGACCCGCGUCUGAUUAGCUGGUUGGUGGGGUAACGGCCCACCAAGGCGACGAUCAGUAGCCGACCUGAGAGGGUGACCGGCCACAUUGGGACUGAGACACGGCCCAAACUCC
RNAcentral lists this ribosomal RNA (348 nucleotides) under uncultured bacterium. Its description in RNAcentral is "bacterial SSU rRNA". It matches the Rfam family "Bacterial small subunit ribosomal RNA", at positions 9 to 339 of the family's 1533-position model. The record is from RNAcentral.